This 460-nucleotide ribosomal RNA is filed under the name uncultured bacterium. RNAcentral describes it as "partial 16S ribosomal RNA". It matches the Rfam family "Bacterial small subunit ribosomal RNA", at positions 338 to 795 of the family's 1533-position model. The record is from RNAcentral.
CCUACGGGAGGCAGCAGUGAGGAAUAUUGGUCAAUGGGCUUACGCCUGAACCAGCCAAGUCGCGUGAGGGAAGACUGCCCUAUGGGUUGUAAACCUCUUUUGUCAGGGAGCAACGCCGGCUACGUGUAGCCGGACUGAGAAUACCUGAAGAAAAAGCAUCGGCUAACUCGGUGCCAGCAGCCGCGGUAAUACGGAGGAUGCGAGCGUUAUCCGGAUUUAUUGGGUUUAAAGGGUGCGUAGGCGGAAUGCCAAGUCAGCGGUAAAAUCGCGGGGCUCAACCUCGCUCCGCCGUUGAAACUGGCGGUCUUGAGUGGGCGAGAAGUAUGCGGAAUGCGUGGUGUAGCGGUGAAAUGCAUAGAUAUCACGAAGAACUCCGAUUGCGAAGGCAGCAUACCGGCGCGCAACUGACGCUCAUGCACGAAAGCGUGGGUAUCGAACAGGAUUAGAUACCCGGGUAGUC